This 460-nucleotide ribosomal RNA is filed under the name uncultured bacterium. RNAcentral describes it as "partial 16S ribosomal RNA". It matches the Rfam family "Bacterial small subunit ribosomal RNA", at positions 338 to 795 of the family's 1533-position model. The record is from RNAcentral.
CCUACGGGCGGCAGCAGUGAGGAAUAUUGGUCAAUGGGCGCGAGCCUGAACCAGCAAAGUAGCGUGAAGGAUGACUGCCCUACGGGUUGUAAACUUCUUUUAUAAAGGAAUAAAGUGAGGCACGUGUGCCUUUUUGUAUGUACUUUAUGAAUAAGGAUCGGCUAACUCCGUGCCAGCAGCCGCGGUAAUACGGAGGAUCCGAGCGUUCGCCGGAUUUAUUGGGUUUAAAGGGAGCGUAGGUGGGUGGUUAAGUCAGUUGUGAAAGUUUGCGGCGCAACCGUAAAAUUGCAAUUGAUACUGGCAGUCUUGAGUGCGUUUGAGGUAGGCGGAAUUCGUGGUGUAGCGGUGAAAUGCUUAGAUAUCACGAAGAACUCCGAUUGCGAAGGCAGCUUACUAAACUGCCACUGACGUUGAGGCUCGAAAGUGUGGGUAUCAAACAGGAUUAGAUACCCGGGUAGUC